This 948-nucleotide ribosomal RNA is filed under the name Triticum aestivum (bread wheat). Its description in RNAcentral is "partial small subunit ribosomal RNA". The record is from RNAcentral. Lineage: Eukaryota; Viridiplantae; Streptophyta; Magnoliopsida; Poales; Poaceae.
AUGGCCGACGAAGUUCAGGCGCUCACCAAGGCCUUCUCAGGUCUGGGAGGUCUGGGCGUGGACGAGCCGACGAUGGUGGCGGCGCUGGCGAACUGGCGGAGGCAGCCGGAGAAGCGGUCCGGGUUCCGAAAGAGCUUCCCGGGUCUGUUCAAGGAGCACGGGGUGAUCGAGCGGUGCGAGGACGAGUACAUGCUGCACCUGGCCGCCGAGUUCUCCCGCUUCAAGAACCUGAUGGUGCUGUGGGCGAUGCACCCGUGGGAGCGCGACGCCCGCCUCGCGCACCACGUCCUCCACCAGGCACACCCGGCCGCCAUCGUCGUGGAGGUCGCCUGCACCCGCUCCGCCGAGGAGCUCCUCGGCGCGCGCAAGGCCUACAUGGCGCUCUUCCACCACUCCCUCGAGGAGGACGUCGCCUACCGCGCCAAGGACAAGCCAUACUGCAGCCUGCUGGUGGGGCUGGUGAGCGCGUACCGGUACGAAGGGCCCAAGGUGAGCGACGACACGGCCAAGGCGGAGGCCAAGGCGCUGGGCGCGGCGGUGAAGAGCGCCGCCGGCGGCAAGCUGGUGGAGAACGACGAGGUGGUCAGGAUCCUCACCACCAGGAGCAAGCCUCACCUCGUCCAGACCUUCAAGUACUACAAGGAGCUGCACGGCAAGCACAUCGAGGAGGAUCUUGGAAGCGAGGAGGCUCUGAGGGAGGCCGUGCAGUGCCUGGCGACGCCGGAGAGGUACUUCAGCCAGGUGAUGGCGGCGGCGCUGAGGGAGGGCGCGGACCACCACGGCAAGGAGGCCCUGGCGCGGGUGGCGGUGACGCGGUCGGACGUGGACAUGGACGGCAUCCGGGCGGCCUACCAGGAGCAGUUCGGGGCCAAGCUCGAGGACGCCGUCGCCGGCAGCGCGCACGGGCACUUCAGGGACGCGCUCGUCUCGCUCAUCGUCGGCAAGUAA